This 253-nucleotide ribosomal RNA is filed under the name uncultured bacterium. RNAcentral describes it as "partial 16S ribosomal RNA". It matches the Rfam family "Bacterial small subunit ribosomal RNA", at positions 524 to 776 of the family's 1533-position model. The record is from RNAcentral.
UACGAAGGGGGCUAGCGUUGCUCGGCAUCACUGGGCGUAAAGGGCGCGUAGGCGGAUCUUUCAGUCAGGGGUGAAAGCCUGAGGCUCAACCUCAGAAUUGCCUUUGAUACUGAAGAUCUUGAGACCGGAAGAGGUAAGUGGAACUGCGAGUGUAGAGGUGAAAUUCGUAGAUAUUCGCAAGAACACCAGUGGCGAAGGCGGCUUACUGGUCCGGUUCUGACGCUGAGGCGCGAAAGCGUGGGUAGCAAACAGG